AGCGGUAGAUUUUCUAGCUUGCUAGAAAAUUGAGAGCGGCGAACGGGUGAGUAACACGUUGGUAUCCGCCCCCAAGUCAGGGAUAGCCAGAAGAAAUUCUGAUUAAUACCGGAUAGUCUCUUCGGAGUAAAAAUUUAUUGCUUGGGGAGGAACCUGCGGUCUAUCAGCUUGUUGGUGAGGUAAUAGCUCACCAAGGCUAUGACGGAUACCUGGUCUGAGAGGAUGAUCAGGCACAAUGGAACUGAGACACGGUCCAUACUCC
Molecule: ribosomal RNA, 262 nt
Filed under: uncultured bacterium
Lineage: Bacteria
Description: partial 16S ribosomal RNA
Rfam family: Bacterial small subunit ribosomal RNA
Source: RNAcentral